This 263-nucleotide long non-coding RNA is filed under the name Physcomitrium patens. Its description in RNAcentral is "long non-coding RNA (PPAT_LNC000200)". The record is from RNAcentral. Lineage: Eukaryota; Viridiplantae; Streptophyta; Bryopsida; Funariales; Funariaceae.
GACUCCAGAUUUCUCCAUGUAUUUGCAUCCAAAUGUUGCCAAAUUAUUAACUGUGAGACAGGAGAGAUAUUCGCACAGGCUGCACGCCAUCAUGCAUCUGAUCUUUACCGCCUCACACCCGCAACAGCUGAACUCAUCUACUCACUCUCAGGCUCUCAUAAAAAAGAGUCCAUCUACACCAACACACUUAUGUCAACCAAAUCCUACAAGAAUUCAACAUGGAAACUUGUAAUCCAUCUCACAUUCCACUCAAUGAGAGACUA